This 680-nucleotide ribosomal RNA is filed under the name uncultured spirochete. RNAcentral's name for it is "bacterial SSU rRNA". It matches the Rfam family "Bacterial small subunit ribosomal RNA", at positions 63 to 726 of the family's 1533-position model. The record is from RNAcentral. Lineage: Bacteria; Pseudomonadati; Spirochaetota; Spirochaetia; Spirochaetales.
CGAACGGCAAGAGAGAAGCUUGCUUCUCUCCUAGAGUGGCGGACUGGUGAGGAACACGUGGGUAAUCUACCCUUAAGAUGGGGAUAGCUGUUAGAAAUAGCAGGUAAUACCGAAUAGGCUCAGUGCUUCAUAAGAGGCGUUGAGGAAAGGGAGCUACGGCUCCGCUUGAGGAUGAGCUUGCGUCCCAUUAGCUAGUUGGUGAGGUAAAGGCCCACCAAGGCGACGAUGGGUAUCCGGCCUGAGAGGGUGAUCGGACACAUUGGGACUGAGAUACGGCCCAAACUCCUACGGGAGGCAGCAGCUAAGAAUAUUCCGCAAUGGACGGAAGUCUGACGGAGCGACGCCGCGUGGAUGAAGAAGGCUGAAAAGUUGUAAAAUCCUUUUGUUGAUGAAGAAUAAGGGGAAGAGGGAAUGCUUCUCUGAUGACGGUAAUCAGCGAAUAAGCCCCGGCUAAUUACGUGCCAGCAGCCGCGGUAACACGUAAGGGGCGAGCGUUGUUCGGAAUUAUUGGGCGUAAAGGGCAUGUAGGCGGCUAUGUAAGCCUGAUGUGAAAUCCUGGGGCUUAACCCUAGAAUAGCAUUGGGUACUGUGUAGCUUGAAUUACGGAAGGGAAACUGGAAUUCCAAGUGUAGGGGUGGAAUCUGUAGAUAUUUGGAAGAACACCGGUGGCGAAGGCGGGU